Molecule: ribosomal RNA, 462 nt
Filed under: Streptococcus thermophilus
Lineage: Bacteria; Bacillati; Bacillota; Bacilli; Lactobacillales; Streptococcaceae
Description: bacterial SSU rRNA
Rfam family: Bacterial small subunit ribosomal RNA
Source: RNAcentral
CUACGGGGAGGCAGCAGUAGGGAAUCUUCGGCAAUGGGGGCAACCCUGACCGAGCAACGCCGCGUGAGUGAAGAAGGUUUUCGGAUGUAAAGCUCUGUUGUAGGUCAAGAACGGGUGUGAGAGUGGAAAGUUCUUCUGUGACGGUAUCUUACCAAAAGGGACGGCUAACUACGUGCCACCACCCCGGUAAUACUUAGGUCCCGAGCGUUGUCCGGAUUUAUGGGGCGUAAAGCGAGCGCAGGCGGUUAGAUAAUUCUGAGGUUAAAGGCUGUGGCUCAACCCAUAGUUCGCUUUGGAAACUGUCUUUCUUGAGUGCAGAAGGGGAGAGUGGAAUUCCAUGUGUAGCGGUGAAAUGCGUAGAUAUAUGGAGGAACACCGGUGGCGAAAGCGGCUCUCUGGUCUGUAACUGACGCUGAGGCUCGAAAGCGUGGGGAGCGAACAGGAUUAGAUACCCUGGGGUAG